Molecule: long non-coding RNA, 2247 nt
Organism: Phacochoerus africanus (Common warthog)
Lineage: Eukaryota; Metazoa; Chordata; Mammalia; Artiodactyla; Suidae
Exons: 3
Source: RefSeq, a predicted model, not a curated record
GGCCCCGCCCCCUCCGCCCGCCGCCUCUCACGCUCCUUCGAGGGCUUCCGGUUCCAGCGGGUCUUGGGCCCGGGCGUCCUCUCGCAUGGACAGGGCGGUAGAGGAGUGCGAGGCCCGGGAGAACUUGGUUAACGUUACUGGCUCUCAGAAGGGGAAUCUAUCUGAAGGAGAUGAACCCUGAAGAACCACUGAUGCCUGGAACUGUGUGUGGUACCCACAGAAUCCCUCUGUGCUCGUCACUUCCUUUGGUUCUGAGGUGUCCUCCAUCCAAGAGGCGACCAUUUGCUCCCACCCCCUCUCCUCUAACCGCAUACCUGCAAAGAACCUUCAGGAUGCUCUGAGCUCCUCUCCUUCCGAAGAGAGCCUGGGCAGAGAACACACAUCCUUCGCUGGGAAGCCUUCCGAGGGGUGAAUUGUGAAAAAGGAUGGGAGAAGGUUAUGUCCGUUGGCUAAAUUCUGGAACUAAAUUAAGCUGUGGGGUGAAGGGAAGCCACUCAGUGUCCACGUGCUCUAUAUCAAUGACCCAGUCAAAGAUUCUAAAUGCUCAAAAGACAAGAAAAAAAAAAGACAAAAAAAAAAGAUUCCAUGUGGCCUAUUUUGAGAAUUUGAGCAAAUGCUCUGCAGGGCCGUCUGAGUCAUCAGCCCAGAAAGUUCCCCAAAGUGUGGGGUCCUGGUUGCUGCCACUCCUACUGCUAUCAUUCUUCCCAUCUUCCAGAGUUCAUGGUAGGGCGGGAGGAAGAGGAAGUGGGAUGCAGGCUUGGAGAGAGAAGAGCAUAACUGGAAGGACUUUCAUCUUGGUAGAAGAUGGACGUUUAUCUUCUAGAUUUUCUUUCUGGCACAGAAGAGGGAAUCAGGCCAAGUGAAUGAUUCGUGGCCUCUUAUUCCUUUCCUUCACCCCCAUGCCAGAUCUCAAAUGCAGUUCAAUUUGGAGCAAUUUGUAAUUAGGGUCAAGGAGAUCUCCGGAUUAUUAUUACGCCCAAGAACCUGGGGCAGUGUUGUUCCUAACGCACUGCAAAUUAGCACCAAGAGACUGACUCCCUUCCCACAUGAUCCGAUUGCAUCACCCUCUCUCUCUCUCUGGACGGGCAUGCGAACAAUAGCUGCUGAAGUGAUUUUGAUGAAAUGUGACAUUUGCAGAGUGUGGCCACCGACCAAAGAAUCUGAGAUUCAGUAUCCAACAUUUCACAGGCUACAAAAUAUAAGCUGGCCAGCAUUUAUUGCUUGUACUAACAGCUCGAGCCAAGUUUCUUAAGCCUACAGAGCAGACCUCUUACUGCUGCUAAUUUUACUGUCAGCAAACAAAAGGGAAAUAGGAAAUGGAAUGGAAUGCCUGAACCAGAGCAUCUGUGGGAGCAAUAUAAACCAGAUUAUGUGAAGAGAGAGCGACUUUCUUUUUCCUAAAACUAAAAAGGACACAAUUUGCACAGACAUAAAAUGGGAAAAAAUGUAAUGUAGAGAAAGUUAGAAGCAGAGAUUCUGCUGUGGCGUCUCAGGAUGGCAUUGAUUUACAUAUUAAGGCAGUCACCAGGGAAAUGUUAAAAACCCUCUAGGGAAGAUUUCAAUAUGAUGGAUAGAACUUUAAUAUUAAUAUAGGAUUCAUCAUGAUAAUGUAAGUCAUAGAUCUAAAUCUCCUUUCAUCAGCUGAAUAGCCCCUUUCCAGCCUAUUAUACAGGUAGCACAUGCUUUAAAUAGUGUCAUGUAACAGGCCUGAAGUCUUUCUUUAUCUGCAUUUCUGAAGUUCUGUUCACAGGAAUUGUGCCCCCACCCCAGGUCAUCCAUCUUUCACUCUGUUAUCUAGGCCAUUGGCAUGUUCUCCUUAUUAAUAUUUAGAAGUCCUUAAAAUAUACUUAUAUUGUACUUUUUUCACAAAUAGAAGAAGCAUAAACAACAUAUUCAAUUUCACAUACAUGCAGUGAGUAUGAAGGGAAUUUUUGCUUCUUAAUCUAUUUGUUGAUCAUUAUACAAAGAAGAAAAGUGAUUUCUGGGUUGCUAUUUGGGGUUUGGUUAUGUAGUAUCUAAUUAUCAACCAUACGCAUGUGUAUUGUUCAUUUUACUCUGGGCUUCUUAGUCUUAUAUAACUGACAUCAAACAAAACAGUGGCAGAACCUCUCUAGAAUCCUAUAACGCAAUGACAGCCUUUUUGGAAUAAGAAAGAUUGCGGUGUUGAUACCAGCGUAAUAAAUACCAGUAAUAAUACACGUUAAGAUUCAUCGGCUGCUUUUUUCAGUAGAGAUUCAAAUAUUCAUC